UUAUUUUUUACAUUCACUUGAUGAAAGUGGAUUAAGUGAGGGGAAAAGCCUAUUGUAAAGGUUACCACAAAAUUGUUUCUAUUUGGCUGCAAACUCUGGGAUUCCUGCAUUGAAAACUUUGAUGAUCAUCAAACCAGAGAUAGGUAGGGCAGCAUCCUCCCCGCUUUGCAAAUGGAAAUUGAAUCCCUGGAUUUUUAAUAUUCCUGCCGGACUGUUAAUGUACAGGGAACUCUCAUGGAUAGUCUACAUUCUUUAUAAAUUAAUAAACCCUCUAUUGAGGAUACUUUCAUCUUUGUAGAUGCAGCCCACAGAAUACAAUAAAUCGUUUCACUUUUAUUUGGUAAUGUGAUUUUUAUUGAGCAAUGAAUCCUUUGUAUAUAAGUCAGAAGUUUAUUGAAUAAAAAGGAAAUGUCUUAAUAGUAAGCACUUGUAUCAUCAUGGCAUAAAUAAGCUUUGAAGUUUCACAUUAAGAACUUUGUUCUACUAUAUUUAGUGGUACUGAAAAGUAGUGGAGGGAUCUACAAAGCAGACAAGCUUUAGGAAAACAUUUUAAGGUUUUUGCAGAAUAAUUUAAAUUUAAUUUUAAAAGAAGAUGGAAUUCUUUGGGAUUUUUUACUUGGGGUGAAUAAAAGCAAGCAUGCAAGUGCUAGGUCAAAAGACAUGGCAUUUACUGUUGGAGAGUAAGUACUAUUGCUUUACAGGCCAUUCAAAGAUAAGCCUUGUGGCUAAACAUUGCAUAAACUUGACCUUGGCUCACAGAUUUUAGCUUCCAUACUUUACUCUUCCCAUCUCAAAAGAAUAACCAGUCGUGAUUACCAUGACCGCACUGUUAGGAAUGACUAACACCAUUUUUCCCGUUUAUUUACCCUAUUGGGUCAUAUUAUCUUAAGGAACACUGGAUAACUGUGUGUGAUGCCGGUGACUCCUUGGCCAUCAGUGGAACACAGUCAGUCUGAACUUGCAUGCAUGCCACAUGAAUGAUCCAGAUCGCCAUAUGCAGCUGUGACGCUGGUCAAAGCAGCAUGUCAUGUUUCUAAUAAGCCUGUAUGUUAUUAUAAUACAGAACAUACAGUCAUAAUACAGAACAGGUCACUUACCUUAGUUUGCACAUGCUGCCCUUUGUAGUCAGCUCCUUCCCUUAUUCCCAACCUUUGAUAACCACUGUUCUUCAUCCCUAUAGUUUUGUCUUCUCCAGAAUGUCAUCUAAAAGGACUCAUACGGUAUGCAGCCUUUGGGGUCUGGUUUAUUUCAAUGAGCAAAUAUGCAUUUGAGAUUCCUCCAUGUUGUUGGAUAAAAUCACUUAAUAUUCAUAUUCAUAUACCACACCUGCAUAGUUUAGAUUCUGCUCUGGUGAAUCCCUUGAAUACUGUUAUUAGCUUUUUUAUUGCAGUAUAACAAAUUACCAUAAACUUACAGGCUUAAAACAAUUCCCAUUAUAACCUCAAAUUUUCCAUGGGUCUGGAAUCCAUCCUCUGUCUAAGGUCUCACCAAGUUGCGACCAAUGUUGUCCAGGGCUACAAUCUCACCUGAGGCUCAUGGUCCUCUUCUAAGCUCAUUGGCUGUUGGCAGAAUUCCGCUGUAGGACCAAGGCCUCUGUUGUCUUGCUGGCUGUCAGCUGAGCAUCUCUCUCAGCUCCUCAGCUAUCUCAGGCUGCUGCUUCCUGCCAUGUGGCCCACUCUACAAUAUAGCUAUUUGCUUCUCCGAGGCUAGCAAAAGUAUGUCUCUCUUGCUUCAAAUCUCUCCCUGCCCCAAAUGCUUGGACCCUACCCUCUUUUUAAAAGCUUGCCUGAUUAGACUGGAUCCACCCAGGAAAAUAUUCCUCUUUGUUAAUUCAAAGUCAACUGGGUAGGAACCUUAAUGACAUCUACAAAAGUCGCUUUACCUUUGCCACAUAAUGUAAUCUAGUCACAGAAGUAAAGUCGUAUCAUAUUCCCACACAUUGCCCACACAACGGGGAGGGGAUUAUUCAGGGUUUGUACACUAGGAUGCACAGAUCUGGGGGACUAUCUUAAACAUUCUACGUAUCAUAAUAUCCUACUCCUUCCUACCAAUUUAAAUGCUUCUCAAAAUCUCUCUCACAUCCCACUUCUUUACAAAGUCUUUCAAUGCUCAUUUUCG
Molecule: long non-coding RNA, 2118 nt
Filed under: Homo sapiens (human)
Lineage: Eukaryota; Metazoa; Chordata; Mammalia; Primates; Hominidae
Description: HSALNT0093131
Source: RNAcentral